Molecule: long non-coding RNA, 915 nt
Organism: Mizuhopecten yessoensis (Yesso scallop)
Lineage: Eukaryota; Metazoa; Mollusca; Bivalvia; Pectinida; Pectinidae
Exons: 4
Source: RefSeq, a predicted model, not a curated record
CAGUAUUUUAACUACCCGUUCAAAGCUGUUGUAAUUGACAUGGUUUGUUUUACCCAUAUAUUACCGCGGGUGAACAUAGAGCGUGGGCAUUUUUCAUGCAGUGUAUUUGUUUGCAUUAAAGAAUAUCUCAAGAAAUGGAUGUUCAUUUGCUUAAUGGAUAAAAUGUCUAUGUCAAAGUAGCAAUAACUCUUAUGGUUAAUAAUGAAAAAAGAAUUCAUGAAGCUAUUACGGAAGUUGUUAUGAGUUUGCAAACUUCAUAGCAUUAAGUACUAAUUGCCAUUUCGAUUCUAUCAUACAAGAAUGCGAUGAUGGUUUCUUUGGUCCAUCCUGUGCUCCCUGUUCUAUUGGUUGUACCGAUCCUGUAUGUAACAGAACUUCCGGAUAUUGUAGUUGUAAAGAUGGUUACCAUGGGAAUGACUGCAGUCAGAUGUGUCCAACUGAGUGUAAAGGAAACACGUGUGUUCAAGUAACUGGGUCCUGUACAGGUUGUGAUCAAGGAUUUUAUGGCAAUGCAUGUCUUCAUCGGUGUCCGGUCAAUUGUGGAACAAACACGUGUUUUCAGUACAGUGGAUUUUGUACAGUUUGCGAACCUGGAUUCUAUGGUGACAUAUGUGACAAGGCCUGUCCACUCAGAAUCUGUAAAGACAGCAUAUGUAACCAGACUGAUGGUCAAUGUACUGGUAUGUAAAAAUGAAAACAUAUAGCGAAAUCCCAUUUCUUGUUUUGCUUCUAAUUCAUGUUUAUCUGAUAUUUUAACUUUACUACUUGACCUGGGUCUGUGCUUGAGUCCGAUAUGUUACAAGUUUUGUUUUUGCACAUGGACAAUUUAAAAUGUUCUUUUUAAUUAAGAUCAAAUUUUUAACACCACCUUUACAUGUAACCGUUAAACGUAGCUGUUUUAAAAGUCGUGCUUAG